GGAGCCUGCAGCCGAGGUAAAUUUGUCCUGAGCCCCAGGCAGCCUGGUCUCCAGCCACAUGGUCAAGCCAGGGCCUGGGGUUCUGGAAACUCCAAUGGGACCCUUUGGGCUGUGACAGGAGGGUUGUCUCGGGGAAACAGGGCGAUGGGGCUGGAGGCAAAAUCCAUUUUUGUAGGGCUUUAAGUGGCAAAUUGAGUUGAAACUGAGGGGUUUGGAAACCAAUGGGGAUUUUUAAAUGAAGACAUUUUAGGAGGGCUCAUCAGGCAGUGGGCCUCAGAAGGGACUGGAAAGGGAGUGCCAGAGGCAGGGAGACCUUAGGAGCUGCUGUGAUGUAGGCGAGAGUUGCCAAGGGCUGAGGGCAGCCGUGGUGGAGGAGCAGCAGCUGGAGGGUGUGGAGGCCUGGCAGGAGACACAGUGCUGGGGGCAUUGGAGGGGUUUUGUGCAAGGUGUGAGUGCAGGCCCAGCAGAGGCCUGGUGGGAGACACAGACGGGGUGGCUCCGGGUGGGAUGCAAGGUGUGAGUGCAGGUCCAGCACUCACUUUGCCUCUGGACCUCAGAUGCCGGGACCUUGGUCUGUUCAAUAAUGGGGCAGGACCAGGUGAUCACCAAGGUCCCUGGAAGUUCGGAGUUGUUGCUUUUGCCCCUGUAUUAGCCCAUUCUUGCAUUGCUACAAAGUAAUACGUGAGACUGGGUAAUUUAUAAAGAAAACAGGUUUAUUUGGAUCCCAGUUCUGCAGGCUGAACAGGAAGUGUGGCGCCAGCAUCUGCUUCUGGUGAGGCUUCAGGAAGUUUCCAAUCAUGGUGGAAGGGGAGCCAGAGAAAGAGAGGGCAGAAGCACCACACUCUUAAACAACCAGAUUUCCCGUGGACUCCCGGGGCAAGAACACACUCAUGUGGGAAGGGGAGCCGUUCAUGAGGGAUCCACCUGCACGAUCCAGCACCUCCCACCAGGCCCCACUUCCAACAUUGCGAUCACAUUUCAACAUGAGAUCUGGAGGGGACGCACAUCCAAACCACAUCAGCCCCAUUUGCUGAGAACCGACCACGUGCCAGGCCCAGCGCAGCCUCCUCGUGUGCACGCCUUGUUUCCUUGUUUAGAUAGGACCACAGCCCUGCCAGGUGAACAGUGUUACCCGUUUUACAGAUGAGCAGACUGAGGACCAGAGAAGCCCUGGAAGCUGCUCCAGCUGGUGAUGGAGUGUUUGGGGCCGAGAUUCACACUCCGUGCAGGACGCCACGGUCUACUUGUGCUCAUGUCUCCGAAUGUGACAGAGGGAGGGAGGCAUCCCAGGGCAGUGGGACCAGGGUAAGAGGGAGCAGAGAGAGUUCCAGCUUCCCUGCCACCAGCGUUUCCCAGCCGUCCUGCGUCUUGGCUUCACAGAAGGAGCCCUUCUGUGAGGCCCACCUCUUCUCCCUCCCUGCAAAUGCCGUGAGUCAAGGCCAUCUCGGUCUUGUUUCAAGAAGUAAAGCAAUAAUGCUCCUCCAAAGCUGACUGGGGGGAGCAGCAGCAGUGCAGCAGGUGGAGCUGCGAAAGGGGAGCUCUCGGGGUUCUAGACAAGCACCCCAAGUCUGGUUCUCCAGGUAAGCCCCUGCAAGGCCACCCACUUGGACUAGUGGCACGUGGGGCGAGUUUCAUUCUUCCUUCACAAGCGGUCGCCAGGGCUGGCAAAAUGUUGCACCACAAGGCUGCUGGCCAGCUAGGUGCCCUCCGCUCACCAAGACUCUCAGAAUUUGCGAGGUUCUCCAUUGCUAGUAACAAUAGGCCUGAUCUGUUGAGAGCCCACCUGUGCCAGCCUGCGCCUUGUACAAUUAUUAUCUGCAUUUUACUCCAGUGAAAGCUGUGGCUCUGAGAAGCCAGAGUCACAUGGAGAAUACUUGGAGCUGUGGGAUUUGAACCUCGGACAGUGCCAGGGCAGUGCCCUGGCCCUCUGCCCUGCAGGAGCCCCUCGGCUGCCAGUAGCCUGAGAUGCCAGCUGCUGGGCACCAUGGCCUGCCACUGACAGUUCUGGAUGGAGAACUGACUUGAGUUUGUGUCUCUACAGGUCUGGAGACCUGACCCGUCCAAGCUUUCCACUGGAGAGAGGAACGCUGGGGCUGGGUCCGUGCUGCGGCUCGCAGUCAAACGGUACCACCUGCAUCAGUGCUUUCCACACCUGAUCUAUCUCGAGCCUCAUGACAACUAUUAUCCAUUUGAAGAGGGGGAAACUGAGGCUCAGAAAGCUCAAGCACCCUCCCAAAAGCCAUGGGGGAGCGAGAACUCCCAUACAGGCCUUCCGGCUCCCCGUCCUGCCUCCUCCCACCAUGCCCAGAACUAGCACCUCCUGAGCACUUGCUCAAGCCAUGGUGAGAUCCAGAACCCGGCUGGAGCCAGGCUUCGGCCAGGCCGUGGCCACGCUGCCAUCUGACAAGCCCAGGGCCUGUCCCAACAAGACUGAGGCCCGUGUGGAGACAACUGCACAGUCGUGACCAGUUGUCCUGACAGACCUGCUAGCACCGCCCGAGGCUGGGAGGGCGCUAAGCCCCAGCCAUCCUGUGAUAGCAGCUUCACAAGAGACCCACGCCAAUACCACGUGGAACUGAAGACCCGCCCAGUGGAGCCUUGCUCAAAUUCCUGACCCGCAGAAUGGGACCUAGUAAAGAAGAUCCACUCUCUUCCCUGCGGGUGUGCCUCAUCCAACCCAUCGAGGAAGACUUCAUAGAACAAAGCGGCAGAUGAAAGGCCCAUUGUCGCUCUUUUCUCCUGAGCUGGAACAUGCAUUUCUCCUGCCCUCCAACGUCAGAGCUCCCGGUUGUAGGGCCUUUGGACUCAGCCUGGAACUUCCAUCAUCGGCUUUCCUGAAUCCCCAGUGUGCAGACAGCAGAUCUUAGGACAUUGUGGCCUAUGUAAUCACACGCCAAUCCCUCAUAAUAAAUUUCUUUCUACGGCUCUCUAUGCAUCCUGUUGGUUCCAUUUUUCUGGAGAACCCUAAUACAGUCAGGCACCGAGACACUGUCCCACGGCGGAAGG
Symphalangus syndactylus (siamang) is the source of this 3006-nucleotide long non-coding RNA. RefSeq lists it as uncharacterized. Lineage: Eukaryota; Metazoa; Chordata; Mammalia; Primates; Hylobatidae. The record is from RefSeq and is a predicted model, not a curated record.